UAUAGGUAGUAUAAGGCUGCACAGUGUAGUACACCCAGCUAUACCUGUCGUUCUCACCUGAAGAUCACUCAAUCUCUGCACGGAUAUCGCAGUGUCUCUCUGACAUAUCCUCAUGGAUGAAGGAGCAUCACCUUCAAUUAAAUCUCUCAAAGACUGAACUUCUGGUUAUACCAGCAAAACCAUCUUUUCAACACAACUUCUCUAUAAGUAUCGACUCUCUCUCUCUCUCACCGACAAAGGUUGCUAGGAACCUGGGUGUUAUGGUUGAUGACCAACUCUCCUUCACGCACCAUGUGGCCUCAGUUGCUCGGUCCUGCCGCUUUGCGCUCUAUAACAUCCGAAAAAUUAGACCGUUCCUGACGCAACAGGCCACCCAACUCCUGGUGCAAGCGGUCGUCAUCUCACGCCUCGACUACUGCAAUGCUGUUCUAACUGGCCUCCGGUCCUGUGUAGUAAAACCACUCCAGAUGAUCCAGAACGCAGCAGCACGUCUGGUCUUCAACCAGCCAAAACGGGCACAUGUCACCCCGCUGCUCAUUGAGCUCCAUUGGCUACCAGUUGAUGCUCGCAUCAAAUUCAAAGCUCUUACAAUCGCCUACAAGGUGAUGUCAGAACAGGCUCCUUCCUACCUGCACUCGCUCCUGAAGGCUUACGCUACCUCCCGUCCGCUGCGCUCCUCCAAUGAACGUCGCCUCGCUUUGCCAAACAAACAUUCACACAAAGCAAUCCAGACUGUUCUCAUACAGAGUUCCCCAAUGGUGGAACAAACUACCUUCCACUACCAGAUCAGGAGAAUCUCUCACUAUCUUUAAUAAACUCCUGAAGACAGAGCUCUUCAAAGAGCACUUACUCUCUUAACACCUCUAACACACUAACUACUUCUAACCUCAUUUCCUUCUUCCCCUCCUUCACUCCUCUAUCCUAUUAUUCCCCUUUGUCCUCCUUUUAUCCCUAUCCAAAGAUGUUUUUAUCUUUAAACUUAUUUUACAUUGUACUUGACUAUUGUAAGUCGCUUUGGACAAAAGUGUC
Molecule: long non-coding RNA, 1029 nt
Filed under: Astyanax mexicanus (Mexican tetra)
Lineage: Eukaryota; Metazoa; Chordata; Actinopteri; Characiformes; Acestrorhamphidae
Description: lncRNA (ENSAMXG00005010494.1)
Source: RNAcentral